CAGAGGGCACCGCCACGUAUAGAGACGUGAUCCGGCAGGUCAGGGCCAACAUGACAAACCUGAACAAGGAAAUGCGGAAGCUGCGGAAGGCCUACAGCACCGAGUGGAAGCUGUUUGAGCAGAGCCAGAAGGAUCUGCAGUCCAACUUCCUCAGGGAAGUGAGAGACAUCAGCACCAGUAAAUUAGAAAAGAAGACAGAUGAUGAAUCAUCACUUUAUCUUUCCUCGGUUGGAACUUUCUGAUCAGUUUGGAAGAAUCUUUAAGUGGAUGAGAUCCAUGGCAGAGCUGCGUCCGCUGAAACAGAGUUAGGCCUAAGAUAAUGAGUUAGGAGUCGCCGAGCCUUCAGAGUUGCUUAAGCACAUUAAAUGCCUGCACUCUGCCACCCUGGGCCGGGCGGGCUGGGCCAGCACCGGUGACCACAGGCAUUUCUGGGGCUGCCCCAGCGUUCCCGGCCUGCGGAGGGGAGUCAGAGCUGGCUAAGGCAUGGCUGCUCCCUGUUCCUCCUGGCAUGACGUACGCUCGGGCCUCCGAGGGCACAGUAAACAUCACACCCGGCACAUCCAGGGCCUUGGGGGCGGUGGCAAACAGAGGCCCCCGAAGGCUGAGCGUGGGGUGGAGGGGGAGCUUUGGUGAACUUGGGAAGAAUCCCACGUGAGUGAGUCAGCCCUACUCAAAUGUGUUUUGGUUGCUGAGCUCGGACCCCACAUUGAAGAGUUUGAGUUAAAAUUCAAUAGAUUCAAAAGAAAACUUAUCUUCCUUCUCAGCCCAUCCUCUCCUUUUCACACUUCUCAGUUUCUAUUGAGAGAUGCACCAUAUUCCCAGUCACCCUGGCUUUUAUCCAACCACGUUCUGUUGAUUUGGCCUCUGAGGUUAUUUAACAUCUACCCCUUUGUUCAGGCCUUCAGGAGGAUGACCUCCAUCCUUUCCAACUUUACAACUUAUUCUUUUUUUAAAAACCCGGUAGGUUUUCUUUUGAUGGCCAGACACCAUUCAGCAGACAAGAAAAGCCGAUAUAAAACCACUGGGCGACUCAAGUGACUGCCCCAUCAGUCUGUGGGAUGUCCUGUUUUUAUAAUUUAACAACUGAAAACAGAAAGGAAAAGUCUAUGUGUCUACUCUAACUUGAAGUUUAGCAGUGAAAAUUGCCUUUAUUUGCCUUAAUGUAGUCCUUGUACUUUGUGGCUUUCUUGGUUUUUUCCAUCCUGGAGUGGGAAUUCUUCUGAAUUCUUCCUUUUUGUUGUUCUUGAAAGUGGAGCGAUCCCCGACAGUCUCGUUCCUCAUUAUGGGGCGUGCUCUGUUAUGAGAAAUAAUGAUCGGUUAUUGACAUAAGGGUCUUUCCUUGUUACACUUAAUUUCCUAGGAUAUUCACCUCAUGGUAGCAUCUUUGCAUCCAGUAAUAUGAACCAAUAUUCUUUGCCUUCCGCAGGCCUGUGCUUCCCUCACCUACAGCUUUUCUCGUCCUCAGCGAUCCCAGGGACAAGUGCCUUCCUCCAGAACUAUCAUCUGUAAUUCUCAUCUCUGAAAUUCCCUCAUUGUACAUGACCGUUCUCCCAUCUCUUGCCUCUGCCUCCUUAUAAACCUUUCUCCAUCCUCGUUGCAAACUCCAGUGUUUCCGUCCUUGUUCUCAAAGUCUACUGGUCCUGUCUAGGCUCCUUUCCCUGUCUUCAGAGUCUUAAUCCUUGAGCUGACCAACAACUUUCCCUUGCCUCAUUUUCCUGCUACCAUUAGCAGUGUUCCUGGUCCAUCCCCAGUAUCCGCCAUCCUGACCUGCUGAACAUCACAGGAGGGAGACACCCCAAUCUGUUGCCUGGGUCCAGAACAAAUUCAUGCUAUCCAGUCUUAAUUGGUCCUUACUGCUACACAGAACAACAUAAGUUUUCCUUAAUUGACUCUCUCCCAAACUUCCCUCUGCAAUCCUCAAGCAAGCUCCCAAGCUGCUUCCAGCUCUUGUCUCUACACAUGUCCUCGUCUCCUGCUACAUGGGGGCAGUAGAAGCCAGCUGCUGUGAACCCCCUUUUUUUCCUACUCUGCACCUCUCCACUCAUAUGAGGAACUCAUGGUCCUUGCAGCCCAAAAGCCAUCUUCUCCAGGAAGGAGCUCAUCCUCCCAAGUGAUUGCCGCUCCCUCUCUUCUCAAGCCAUGUCCUGCACGGCACUUCCCUGGCACUGCCAGACUUCCAGGCUCUCAUUGCCUCCUCUUCCUUACCACAGGUGCUGUGGCCCUUCACAUCUCUGCCCUGGAUUAUUGCUGUGUCCUUUCUUGCAGGCUCUCUCCCUUCGCUAGCUCAUCCUUUGUCCAGCUGUCAAAUCAUCUUCCUAAGGGACAAGGGUGACUGGUCACUCCACUGCUCGAAAGCCCUGCCCUGGAACCAGAUACGGCCUCUUUGGCAUGGCUUAUGGUCUUGUGCCACCUAAUGGGUAUUCCCCUUUCUAGCCUUAUUCCACACACCUUAUGUUUCAACUAAAUUGGAUGGUUUACCAUUUUCUACAUUUAAUAUUCCACAUCCCACUGCUGGAUGUUCGCCUGAACUGCCCCCAGUCCUUGGCCUUCCACUCCCCUCUCUGCUUUCUCAGAAUACUUAUCUUCCCUUAAGGCUUAAUGCCAGUUCACCUCCUAGGAGAAACUUUCCCCAAUCCCUUCUCCCUCCCUCCUCAUCUUUUCUUAAACCACCCUUAUUUGUGUGUUUUGUAUCUCUCUGGUAGAAGGUGAGCUCCCUGUGGACAAGGGCUUGUUUUGUCUUUAAACUCUCAGCCUUGUAAAAUGUCUUACAUAUACAUAGUAGACCUUCAAUAAAUGCUUAUUGAGUCAAAUAUUCAUGAAUGAUUCUCAAGUAUUUUCCAGAAGGUUGGACCAAUUCAUUACUAUAACAAAUUAGAAUGGUUGUCUUCCUCACAGCCUCUCCAAGAUGAAAUUUUCCCCUUUCACCUUUGACAUUUUGAUGGGCAUGGGGUAAUCUCUUCUUUUAAUUUGCAUUUCUAUUAUUAUUUGUAAGUAUGAACAUUUAUUCAACUGUUUAAUAUUUGAGGCACUUUUUCUUUUGAAAACUGUUCAUCUUCUUCAAUAACUUGUCUCUCAGGGAACAACUUUUAAUCAUGUAGAUUGGGUUAAUUCCCUGUAAGUUUUAUUGUUAAACUUUUUAUCAAAGAUGUUUCCCUCCCCUUACCCCAUCCAUAUCUUUUCUUCUCAUUCCACCUGCAUUGAUUUUAUUUGUGAUUUUAAAUAAUCAUACUAUAAGAUGAUUGAGAGAUCAUGGGUACACCAGUUCCCCCCUGAGCACAAUAAGAAAUGUUCCAAAUUCAGUAAAAUAAAAACAAUAUGAAGGUAACGUAAAGAAAACCAAGAGGGGUGUUUUCUCUUCCCCUCUCUAUAUACCCCCAGACUUGGGAGUCUCCCAGUCUCCUGUUCCCAGUAGCUAUUGGGCUAGAGUCAUAUAUUCCUCAAGCCUCAGAGUUUCAGGCAGUAGAGCAAGCAGGAUUUCUUGGGUUUCAUGCAUAUAAGACAAUUUUUUUUUGUCAUGAAUUAAAAUCGUUUUUUCAUUGUGAAUUAAAUCAACAAAUACAUGAAACAAAAACAGGAUUAUAUAUGAAACUGUGAACUUCAGCUAAAUGCAAUUUAGGUUUUUUAAAAUGUGUAUUAAAUUUAACAAAGCAGUAGCAAAAUUGCCCUGUUUGUGUCUCUCCUUGAAAACUUGUUUCUUC
This is a long non-coding RNA of Sarcophilus harrisii (Tasmanian devil), 3698 nucleotides long. The record is from Ensembl. NCBI's taxonomy places the organism in Eukaryota, Metazoa, Chordata, Mammalia, Dasyuromorphia, Dasyuridae.